Molecule: RNA transcript, 1349 nt
Organism: Prunus dulcis (almond)
Lineage: Eukaryota; Viridiplantae; Streptophyta; Magnoliopsida; Rosales; Rosaceae
Gene name: sec-independent protein translocase protein TatB
Exons: 8
Source: RefSeq, a predicted model, not a curated record
GAAAGCGCCAACAAAAGCCUAAGCUCACUCCUGGUCAAGUCCAAGGCCCAAAAUGUUGGGUAUUUCGUACGGAGAGCUCUUCCUCUUGAUCGGAGCCACGGCUGCUCUUGUCGGACCAAAGGAUUUGCCUAGAAUUGCUAGAACAGCAGGGCGGCUAGCGGGUCGGGCAAUCGGUUAUGUUCAGUUAGCUCGUGGCCAAUUCGAAAAUGUUAUGCAGCAAUCUCAAGCUCGCCAGGUUCAUAAAGAACUUCAAGAUGCACUGGCACAAUUAGAGUCGAUUCGAUAUGAAAUUCGAAGCAUAUCACUUAUGAAUCCUGGUCCUCUGACUAGGAAGCUGAUGGACAAUCCUCAAGACCUGGCUCCUAAAGGGUCCAACGGGUCACUUGAGAAGCCCGAGGAAGAGCUGAUGUCAACAAGUACUGUGCUGAAGGAUAGAACCCCCGAGUCAGUUAAUUUGCAUAGCCAAGCAACUGCUUAUGAAAGAUUGGCUGAAUCCGAUGCCGUGAAGACUGGCUCUUUGAAGAGAAGUGCAGAGAAAGAGAACCUUAGUGAUGAAGGUGGUCUUUUUGCUGUUCUCCCAGUUUCAGCUGAAAGCACUGGGAUGCUACCAAAUCGCAAGGAGAAUGUUGAAGGAUCAGACAUUGUGUUGGAAGCAAUACUUGAAGCAGAGGUAGCACGCAAUGCCAAAGAUUUCUUUUCACAGCCUGCAAAUCAAAUACAGUGAAAUGAGAAGGUGAUUGAUCGAGCUUGCUCCUAAAUAUUGUUUAACUAAACUCCUCGUCGGCAUGAUCAGCUGAAAGAUGAACAUGCUCUUUCCUUGUUGAUAAACGGAGGACAAUAUAUAGGGAUUGGUUUUGAGAGAAUUACCGGCUACAAUGAGGGCUGCACUGGUUUGUUUGUUACAAAAAAUAGGAUGGGGGUCAUGGGAGAGGAAUAAUAUUGGGUCAAGACUGGGCUCAAAAGUAAAUCCCAGAUCGAACUCUUCUUGAGUUGGGUUGGCUUGUUCUAAUACUGGGUUUGGACAAGGCCAUUACCCAAUAGGGCCAUGCCCUUUGUUUGUUGAAGAAGAGGAUUCGAACUUGGGUGCAAGAGUCCGGGUUCACCCCAUAAAUAACUGGCCUAACACGCGUUUGCAAUACUCCAAUCAUUUUAAGUACAUAAGAUAUGACGGGGACGAAGGUGGAGCCAACUUUAUGGUACUUCUGAAUUAGAGUAGUAUAUAUAGGUUAUGAGUUGAUCAUUUACCUAUUGCGAAAACUAUCGAUACUCUGAAUUCGGUGUAAUUAAUAGGAGAUGUAUUGGACUUUUCAAUUCGAUAAUCCGAAUCUGGUAGUUUGAUUACAAAUGGA